This 465-nucleotide ribosomal RNA is filed under the name uncultured Pseudomonadota bacterium. Its description in RNAcentral is "bacterial SSU rRNA". It matches the Rfam family "Bacterial small subunit ribosomal RNA", at positions 8 to 522 of the family's 1533-position model. The record is from RNAcentral. Lineage: Bacteria; Pseudomonadati; Pseudomonadota.
AGAGUUUGAUCAUGGCUCAGAACGAACGCUGGCGGCAGGCUUAACACAUGCAAGUCGAACGCACCGCAAGGUGAGUGGCAGACGGGUGAGUAACGCGUGGGAACCUUCCCUUUGGUACGGAAUAACUUCGGGAAACCGAAGCUAAUACCGUAUAAGUCCUUCGGGAGAAAGAUUUAUCGCCAAAGGAUGGGCCCGCGUUGGAUUAGCUAGUUGGUAGGGUAAAGGCCUACCAAGGCUACGAUCCAUAGCUGGUCUGAGAGGAUGAUCAGCCACACUGGGACUGAGACACGGCCCAGACUCCUACGGGAGGCAGCAGUGGGGAAUAUUGGACAAUGGGGGCAACCCUGAUCCAGCCAUGCCGCGUGAGUGAAGAAGGCCUUAGGGUUGUAAAGCUCUUUUGGCGGGGACGAUAAUGACGGUACCCGCAGAAUAAGCCCGGCUAACUUCGUGCCAGCAGCCGCGGUA